This 277-nucleotide ribosomal RNA is filed under the name uncultured bacterium. RNAcentral describes it as "partial 16S ribosomal RNA". It matches the Rfam family "Bacterial small subunit ribosomal RNA", at positions 32 to 299 of the family's 1533-position model. The record is from RNAcentral.
AAUCAACGCUGGCGGCGUGCCUCAGACAUGCAAGUCGAACGAUUAAGACUCUCUUCGGAGAGUGUAUAGAGUGGCGCACGGGUGAGUAACACGUAGGUAAUUUGCCUUCGGGUGGGGAAUAACUUGGGGAAACCCAAGCUAAUACCGCAUAAUGCAGCGGCACCGUAAUGGUGACAGUUGUUAAAGCUUUAUGCGCCUGAAGAGAAGCCUGCGGCGGAUUAGCUAGUUGGUAAGGUAAUGGCUUACCAAGGCGACGAUCCGUAUCCGGUCUUAGAGG